RNAcentral lists this ribosomal RNA (549 nucleotides) under uncultured bacterium. Its description in RNAcentral is "bacterial SSU rRNA". It matches the Rfam family "Bacterial small subunit ribosomal RNA", at positions 355 to 896 of the family's 1533-position model. The record is from RNAcentral.
UGGGGAAUAUUGGACAAUGGGCGAAAGCCUGAUCCAGCCAUGCCGCGUGUGUGAAGAAGGCCUUUUGGUUGUAAAGCACUUUAAGUGGGGAGGAAAAGCUUAUGGUUAAUACCCAUAGGCCCUGACGUUACCCACAGAAUAAGCACCGGCUAACUCUGUGCCAGCAGCCGCGGUAAUACAGAGGGUGCAAGCGUUAAUCGGAAUUACUGGGCGUAAAGCGCGCGUAGGUGGUUAUUUAAGUCAGAUGUGAAAGCCCCGGGCUUAACCUGGGAACUGCAUCUGAUACUGGAUAACUAGAGUAGGUGAGAGGGGAGUAGAAUUCCAGGUGUAGCGGUGAAAUGCGUAGAGAUCUGGAGGAAUACCGAUGGCGAAGGCAGCUCCCUGGCAUCAUACUGACACUGAGGUGCGAAAGCGUGGGUAGCAAACAGGAUUAGAUACCCUGGUAGUCCACGCCGUAAACGAUGUCUACCAGUCGUUGGGUCUUUUAAAGACUUAGUGACGCAGUUAACGCAAUAAGUAGACCGCCUGGGGAGUACGGCCGCAAGGUUA